RNAcentral lists this ribosomal RNA (479 nucleotides) under Cortinarius sp. DL-2015. RNAcentral describes it as "eukaryotic LSU rRNA". The stretch from base 98 to 251 matches the Rfam family "5.8S ribosomal RNA". Lineage: Eukaryota; Fungi; Basidiomycota; Agaricomycetes; Agaricales; Cortinariaceae. The record is from RNAcentral.
UCUCCACCUGUGCACUUUUUGUAGGCCUUUCGGGUCUAUGUUGCUUCAUUUUACCCCAAUGUAUGUUAAUAAAAUGUUGUGCCUAUAUAAUAUAUACAACUUUCAGCAACGGAUCUCUUGGCUCUCGCAUCGAUGAAGAACGCAGCGAAAUGCGAUAAGUAAUGUGAAUUGCAGAAUUCAGUGAAUCAUCGAAUCUUUGAACGCACCUUGCGCUCCUUGGUAUUCCGAGGAGCAUGCCUGUUUGAGUGUCAUUAAUAUAUAUCAGCCCUCUCGUUGUUGAGAGGUUUGGAUGUGGGGGUUUGCUGGCCUCUUAAAAAGGUUCAGCUCCUCUAAAAUGCAUUAUCAGAACACAACCUGUUCAUUGGUGUGAUAAACUAUCUACGCUAUUGAAUGUGAGGGGGGCAGUUCAGCUUUCUAACAGUCUUUGGACAAAUUCAUCAUUAAUGUGACCUCAAAUCAGGUAGGACUACCCGCUGAAC